This 37-nucleotide transfer RNA is filed under the name Epinephelus coioides (orange-spotted grouper). RNAcentral describes it as "partial tRNA-Glu". Lineage: Eukaryota; Metazoa; Chordata; Actinopteri; Perciformes; Serranidae. The record is from RNAcentral.
UUUUGUAGUUGAAAAAACAACGAUGGUUUUUCAUAUC